This 521-nucleotide ribosomal RNA is filed under the name uncultured bacterium. RNAcentral's name for it is "bacterial SSU rRNA". It matches the Rfam family "Bacterial small subunit ribosomal RNA", at positions 8 to 518 of the family's 1533-position model. The record is from RNAcentral.
AGGGUUCGAUUCUGGCUCAGGAUGAACGCUAGCUACAGGCUUAACACAUGCAAGUCGAGGGGCAGCAUUGAGAUAGCUUGCUAUUCAGAUGGCGACCGGCGCACGGGUGAGUAACGCGUAUCCAACCUUCCCCUUAGUAGGACAUAGCCCGUAGAAAUGCGGAUUAAUACCCUAUGUUGUAUAUUGAGGACAUCUGAUUUAUACCAAAGGUUUACCGCUAAGGGAUGGGGAUGCGUCUGAUUAGGUAGUAGGCGGGGUAACGGCCCACCUAGCCGACGAUCAGUAGGGGUUCUGAGAGGAAGGUCCCCCACAUUGGAACUGAGACACGGUCCAAACUCCUACGGGAGGCAGCAGUGAGGAAUAUUGGUCAAUGGACGGAAGUCUGAACCAGCCAAGUAAGCGUGCAGGAUGACGGCCCUAUGGGUUGUAAACUGCUUUUAUAUAGGGAUAAAGUCGGGGACGUGUCCCCGUUUGUAGGUACUAUAUGAAUAAGGACCGGCUAAUUCCGUGCCAGCCGCCGC